GCUCCCGUAGCUCAAUGUAUAGAGCGCCUGAGGUGCUCUUCGAACGCGGAGGUUGAGGGCGAAAGUCCUUCCGGGAGUGCCA
RNAcentral lists this transfer RNA (82 nucleotides) under Verrucomicrobiaceae bacterium. RNAcentral describes it as "tRNA-OTHER". The record is from RNAcentral. Lineage: Bacteria; Pseudomonadati; Verrucomicrobiota; Verrucomicrobiia; Verrucomicrobiales; Verrucomicrobiaceae.